AAUAAACCAAUUCCUGUGUUUUUUGAUUGAAUUUUUGACUCUUUAUUUUAUUUAAAAUUUUUUAUGAUUAAUAUUUUUAUUGUUAUUACAUGAUGAAAUAUGAAUAGUACUUUGCAUGUGGCUAUUUUUUUAAUUUUUUAAUAAAUUUUUCAAAUAAGAUAGAUGGUCAAACGUUCUAUAGGCAAAACCCACGAAUC
Molecule: non-coding RNA, 197 nt
Organism: Oryza brachyantha (malo sina)
Lineage: Eukaryota; Viridiplantae; Streptophyta; Magnoliopsida; Poales; Poaceae
Source: Rfam